UACGAAGGGAGCUAGCGUUGUUCGGAAUCACUGGGCGUAAAGCGCACGUAGGCGGAUGUGUCAGUCAGGGGUGAAGUCCCGGAGCUCAACUUCGGAACUGCCUUUGAUACAGCACGUCUUGAGUCCGAUAGAGGUGGGUGGAAUUCCUAGUGUAGAGGUGAAAUUCGUAGAUAUUAGGAAGAACACCGGUGGCGAAGGCGGCCCACUGGAUCGGUACUGACGCUGAGGUGCGAAAGCGUGGGAGCAAACAGG
Molecule: ribosomal RNA, 252 nt
Filed under: uncultured bacterium
Lineage: Bacteria
Description: partial 16S ribosomal RNA
Rfam family: Bacterial small subunit ribosomal RNA
Source: RNAcentral